RNAcentral lists this unclassified non-coding RNA (322 nucleotides) under uncultured Phlogicylindrium. RNAcentral's name for it is "sequence contains ITS1". The stretch from base 1 to 105 matches the Rfam family "5.8S ribosomal RNA", at positions 50 to 154 of the family's 154-position model. The record is from RNAcentral. Lineage: Eukaryota; Fungi; Ascomycota; Sordariomycetes.
GAAAGGCGAUAAGUAAUGUGCAUUGCAGAAUUCAGUGAAUCAUCGAAUCUUUGAACGCACAUUGCGCCCAUUAGUAUUCUAUUGGGCAUGCCUGUUCGAGCGUCAUUUCAACCCUUAAGCUCAGCUUAGUGUUGGGAAUCUACCGUGAGCGGUGCUACCCUGUAGCUACCCUGUAGUUCCUCAAAUCCAACGGCGGAGUCGUAGUUAUCUCUGAGCGCAGUAAUUUUUAUCACGCUUUUGAAGGUGCUACAACCCUAGCCGCUAAACCCCCAAUUUUUUAAUGGUUGACCUCGGAUCAGGUAGGAAUACCCGCUGAACUUAA